RNAcentral lists this ribosomal RNA (253 nucleotides) under uncultured bacterium. RNAcentral describes it as "partial 16S ribosomal RNA". It matches the Rfam family "Bacterial small subunit ribosomal RNA", at positions 524 to 776 of the family's 1533-position model. The record is from RNAcentral.
UACGUAGGGCGCAAGCGUUGUCCGGAAUUAUUGGGCGUAAAGAGCUCGUAGGCGGUUUGUCGCGUCUGCUGUGAAAACCCGAGGCUCAACCUCGGGCUUGCAGUGGGUACGGGCAGACUAGAGUGCGGUAGGGGAGACUGGAAUUCCUGGUGUAGCGGUAAAAUGCACAGAUAUCAGGAGGAACACCGAUGGCGAAGGCAGGUCUCUGGGCCGCAACUGACGCUGAGGAGCGAAAGCGUGGGUAGCAAACAGG